Molecule: ribosomal RNA, 497 nt
Filed under: uncultured bacterium
Lineage: Bacteria
Description: partial 16S ribosomal RNA
Rfam family: Bacterial small subunit ribosomal RNA
Source: RNAcentral
GAUGAACGCUGGCGGCGUGCCUAAUACAUGCAAGUCGAGCGAACGGACGAGAAGCUUGCUUCUCUGAUGUUAGCGGCGGACGGGUGAGUAACACGUGGAUAACCUACCUAUAAGACUGGGAUAACUUCGGGAAACCGGAGCUAAUACCGGAUGAUAUUUUGAACCGCAUGGUUCAAAAGUGAAAGACGGUCUUGCUGUCACUUAUAGAUGGAUCCGCGCUGCAUUAGCUAGUUGGUAAGGUAACGGCUUACCAAGGCAACGAUGCAUAGCCGACCUGAGAGGGUGAUCGGCCACACUGGAACUGAGACACGGUCCAGACUCCUACGGGAGGCAGCAGUAGGGAAUCUUCCGCAAUGGGCGAAAGCCUGACGGAGCAACGCCGCGUGAGUGAUGAAGGUCUUCGGAUCGUAAAACUCUGCUAUUAGGGAAGAACAUAUGUGUAAGUAACUGUGCACGUCUUGACGGUACCUAAUCAGAAAGCCACGGCUAACUACGUG